UACGUAGGGCGCAAGCGUUGUCCGGAAUUAUUGGGCGUAAAGAGCUCGUAGGCGGUUUGUCGCGUCUGCUGUGAAAUUUCGAGGCUCAACCUCGAACUUGCGGUGGGUACGGGCAGACUAGAGUGUGGUAGGGGAGAUUGGAAUUCCUGGUGUAGCGGUGGAAUGCGCAGAUAUCAGGAGGAACACCGAUGGCGAAGGCAGAUCUCUGGGCCGUAACUGACGCUGAGGAGCGAAAGCAUGGGGAGCGAACAGG
RNAcentral lists this ribosomal RNA (253 nucleotides) under uncultured bacterium. RNAcentral's name for it is "partial 16S ribosomal RNA". It matches the Rfam family "Bacterial small subunit ribosomal RNA", at positions 524 to 776 of the family's 1533-position model. The record is from RNAcentral.